This 254-nucleotide ribosomal RNA is filed under the name uncultured bacterium. RNAcentral's name for it is "partial 16S ribosomal RNA". It matches the Rfam family "Bacterial small subunit ribosomal RNA", at positions 524 to 776 of the family's 1533-position model. The record is from RNAcentral.
UACGGGGGGAGCAAGCGUUGUUCGGAUUUACUGGGCGUAAAGGGCGCGUAGGCGGUCAGCACAAGUCAGUUGUGAAAUCUCCGGGCUUAACUCGGAAAGGUCAACUGAUACUGUGCGACUAGAGUGCAGAAGGGGCAACUGGAAUUCUCGGUGUAGCGGUGAAAUGCGCAGAUAUCGGGAGGAACACCAGUGGCGAAGGCGGCACUCUGGGCCAGUACUGACACUGAGGAGCGAAAGCGUGGGGAGCGAACAGG